GGGGUGGGGGUGAUUGUGUCCACCUGGAGCCGGCCGCAGAGGAAAUGCGCUCACCGCUUUCUGCCUCCCGUCCCCCAUGGGGCUCUAUCUUUCCAGAAAGCUGGACGGGUGUACAAAAAGCAUCACAUCCAGUGGGCUCUCCUGCCGCAAGCCCCGUGUUCUGGGUCAGUACUGUCUGCCCUCUGUUGGAUGCUUGGAAGUACAUGCUGGCAGCCAACCGAUGCCUUGUCAUCAGCAUCCCACAUAUAAAAAUCAAAAGAAAACAAAUGAAAAAGUCAAGAUUUCAGUGGUUUGACCAAAUAUAUUGGUCAAUUUUACCUUCAAUUUCUUACAGAACCUACAACUACACUAAACCAGGAACUCAAAUAAAGUUGAUUUGGAGCAAAAUGCCAGUCAAAGGUGGAAAGAUGGAGAUGAAAUUGAUACCAAUACACACCCCAAAAACCCUCAAAGAUAAUGGCUUGAAAACUGCUGAUGUCUUUAUUUUCUAUCAAAAUAAAAUAUUCUGAUUUAUUAAAUCUAA
Brienomyrus brachyistius is the source of this 523-nucleotide long non-coding RNA. RefSeq lists it as uncharacterized. The record is from RefSeq and is a predicted model, not a curated record. NCBI's taxonomy places the organism in Eukaryota, Metazoa, Chordata, Actinopteri, Osteoglossiformes, Mormyridae. The transcript has 3 exons.